This is a long non-coding RNA of Oncorhynchus tshawytscha (Chinook salmon), 1107 nucleotides long. The record is from Ensembl. Lineage: Eukaryota; Metazoa; Chordata; Actinopteri; Salmoniformes; Salmonidae.
UAGGGCAACAGUGUCUAGAUGGAAUUUGUAUUUGUGGUCCUGGUGACUGGACCUUUUUUGGAAAACCAUUAUUUUGGUCUUACUGAGAUUUACUGUCAGGGCCCAGGUCUGACAGAAUCUGUGCAUAAGAUCUAGGUGCUGCUAUAGGCCCUCCUUGGUUGGUGACAGAAGCACCAGAUCAUCAACAAACAGCAGACAUUUGAAAUAUGUGUGCUUUUUGCCAAUUUUAACCGCGCACUUGUUGUUUGUGUACAUGGAUUUUAUAAUGUCGUAUGUUUUACCCCCAACACCACUUUCCAUCAGUUUGUAUAGCUCUCUCUCUCUCCCCCAAUUCUCUCUCUCGCUCUGUUCAUCUUUCUUUCUGUCACACUCUCCAUUUCAUUGUUCAAUUCGAAGGGGUUUAUUGGGAAACAUCUAUGUUUACAAAAGGGAAAUUAACAAGGGAAAUAAACAGUAAACAAAUGUUUUUGAAUUUUUUUAAACCUAGCAAGUUGCACAAUAUUCAACCCACUAGUGGUUCGAGCGUUGGGCCAGUAGCCAGCAGGUAGCCUAGUGGUUAGAGCGUUGGGCCAGUAGCCAGCAGGUAGCCUAGUGGUUAGAGCGUUGGGCCAGUAGCCAGCAGGUAGCCUAGUGGUUAGAGCGUUGGACCAGUAACCAGCAGGUAGCCUAGUGGUUAGAGCGUUGGGCCAGUAGCCAGCAGGUAGCCUAGUGGUUAGAGCGUUGGGCCAGUAACCCAAAAGGUUGCUGGAUUGAAUCCCUGAGCUGACAAGGUAAAAAUCUGUUGUUCUACCCCUGAACAAGGCAGUUAACCCACUGUUCCCUGGGUGCUGUGGAGGUUGAUUAAGGCAGCCCCCCGCACCCAGGUCUGUCAGGGCCCAGGUCUGUCAGGGCCCAGGUCUGUCGGGGCCCAGUUCUGUCGGGGCCCAGUUCUGUCGGGGCCCAGGUCUGUCGGGGCCCAGGUCUGUCAGGGCCCAGGUCUGUCAGGGCCCAGUUCUGGCAGAAUCUGUGCAGAAGAUCUAGGUGGUGAAGCACCAGAUCAUCAUCAAACAGUAGACGUUUGACUUCAGAUUCUAGUAGGUUGAGGCCAGGUGCUGCAGACUGUUCUAG